GCCGGUGUAGCUCAGUUGGCAGAGCGGCUGACUUGUAAUCAGCAGGUCGGGGGUUCGAACCCUCUCACCGGCUCCA
Molecule: transfer RNA, 76 nt
Filed under: Thermanaerovibrio velox DSM 12556
Lineage: Bacteria; Thermotogati; Synergistota; Synergistia; Synergistales; Synergistaceae
Description: tRNA-Thr
Rfam family: tRNA
About the family: Transfer RNA (tRNA) molecules are approximately 80 nucleotides in length.
Source: RNAcentral